AAGUCGAACGGCAGCACGGGGGCAACCCUGGUGGCGAGUGGCGAACGGGUGAGUAAUACAUCGGAACGUGUCCUGUAGUGGGGGAUAGCCCGGCGAAAGCCGGAUUAAUACCGCAUACGCUCUACGGAGGAAAGGGGGGGAUCUUAGGACCUCCCGCUACAGGGGCGGCCGAUGGCAGAUUAGCUAGUUGGUGGGGUAAAGGCCUACCAAGGCGACGAUCUGUAGCUGGUCUGAGAGGACGACCAGCCACACUGGGACUGAGACACGGCCCAGACUCCUACGGGAGGCAGCAGUGGGGAAUUUUGGACAAUGGGGGCAACCCUGAUCCAGCAAUGCCGCGUGUGUGAAGAAGGCCUUCGGGUUGUAAAGCACUUUUGUCCGGAAAGAAAACGCCGUGGUUAAUACCCGUGGCGGAUGACGGUACCGGAAGAAUAAGCACCGGCUAACUACGUGCCAGCAGCCGCGGUAAUACGUAGGGUGCAAGCGUUAAUCGGAAUUACUGGGCGUAAAGCGUGCGCAGGCGGUCCGCUAAGACAGAUGUGAAAUCCCCGGGCUUAACCUGGGAACUGCAUUUGUGACUGGCGGGCUAGAGUAUGGCAGAGGGGGGUAGAAUUCCACGUGUAGCAGUGAAAUGCGUAGAGAUGUGGAGGAAUACCGAUGGCGAAGGCAGCCCCCUGGGCCAAUACUGACGCUCAUGCACGAAAGCGUGGGGAGCAAACA
Molecule: ribosomal RNA, 720 nt
Filed under: Burkholderia sp. Z102
Lineage: Bacteria; Pseudomonadati; Pseudomonadota; Betaproteobacteria; Burkholderiales; Burkholderiaceae
Description: bacterial SSU rRNA
Rfam family: Bacterial small subunit ribosomal RNA
Source: RNAcentral